AGGAUGAUAGUUAAUAAUAACAGUUGGAUUGCAUACAAAAAGUACUGAAAAAUUUCAGUUUAUCUU
This 66-nucleotide transfer RNA is filed under the name Margattea angusta. RNAcentral's name for it is "tRNA-Ala". Lineage: Eukaryota; Metazoa; Arthropoda; Insecta; Blattodea; Pseudophyllodromiidae. The record is from RNAcentral.